Molecule: ribosomal RNA, 443 nt
Filed under: uncultured bacterium
Lineage: Bacteria
Description: partial 16S ribosomal RNA
Rfam family: Bacterial small subunit ribosomal RNA
Source: RNAcentral
GAUGAACGCUGGCGGCAUGCCUAACACAUGCAAGUCGAUCGGUAAGGCUCUUCGGAGUACACGAGAGGCGGACGGCUGAGUAACGCGUAGGAACACACCCUGCAGUGAGGGAUAAGACACCGAAAGGUGUUCUAAUACCGCAUACGGUCUUCGGAUUAAAGCAUUUAUGCGCUGAAGGAGUGGCCUGCGUCAUAUUAGAUAGUUGGUGAGGUAAUGGCUCACCAAGUCGAUGAUGUGUAGCUGGUCUGAGAGGAUGAUCAGCCAGACUGGAACUGAGACAAGGUCCAGACUCCCAAGGGAGGGAGGAGUGAAGGAUAAUUCACAAUGAACGAAAGCUUGAUGGAGCAAAGCCGCGGGCAAGAAGAAGGGCCUUGGGUUGGAAACUGGUUUUUUAAGAAGAGAAUAUGACGGUAACUUAUGAAUAAGGGACGGCUAACUACGUG